AUUUAAGCUUUCCUUUCCCUUGCACUUGUAAUUUUACCCAAAGGAGGCAUUACCUAAAUUCUUAGCAUUACAGAAGCUGUGGUAUAAAAGGAAUAGCAGCACUAGCACUACAUGAAACGUUCAAUUUGGAUUUCAACAAUAAGAAGAAUUUCGUAUGGAUGAAACUAAGAAGUGCAUAUACUAGUCUCAUGGGAUAUCUACCUUUUUCUGCAGAUACAGAAAUAUCCGAGGAAUGGAAAAUUUUGGGUUAUCUCCAGAUUUUAUACACAAUCUUGCUACUGCUAGAAGAUUUUUAAGCUCUCUAGAGUCAUAACUGUUUCCAAGAUCUGGGUCUAUCAUCUUUUCCAUCGAAUUACGAAAACGAGAUCCUUGGAUCCAUUGGAUUAAAUCAGUGCUUCCUUUCUCGGAUGAUUGACCGGUUAUUAACUCCAGGAUUAGCACACCAAGCUGGAAAAUUAUGUUUCUACAACUUUGAUUCAUACAAUCUGCAAUUAGAGUUAUUAGACAACUUUAAGGUUAAAAUAUUCAGCAACAUAAGCUCUAAGAAUUCCUGAGAGGGUGAUGGUUAGAAAUCACCUUCUGCACAUGAGGCACGAGGCAUGGUAACAUAAUUUCCAACAGAACUAAGAGGGCCAACACUGGAGAGCUUUGCAGUAAAGUUCUCAUCUAGCAUGAUAUUACUUGAGCUGAUGGAAACCUGAUAUAUUGGUGGGUUGCUAAAGAGAAGUAAAUACUCCAGUGCAGCUGCCACCCCAUUGGCUAUCUGUAACCUGGUAUUCCAAUUCAAGGGAGUCUUAAGAGGAUCAUUUAGAUGCUCCUUCAAGCUUCCAUUUUCUAUAUUGUCAAACACCAACAACCUCUUAGGACCAGUGGAGAAGCCUUUAAGUGCAAGAAGGUGACGGUGAUGCAAGCGCCCCAAAAAUUGUACUUGCUUAUAAAAAACAUCAUUUCCUUGAUUUAGAUCUUUUAGUUCCUUGACCAGAACAACGUCACCAUCUUGAAAUUUGGCCUUAUAAGCAGUCCCAUUAGAAUCACUAUACAGUAUCCUAUGAAAACCGUCAGUUGCCCUCUUUAUAUCUUUGUAUGAGAAGCGCCUGACAAACGAUACUGGGCCAGAACGAGAUCGGUGAAGCCAAGCAAGGAGGUAAGGCCUGAUCUUGCGGAUGAGACGAUCCAUCCCAAUUGAGCAAAAACUGCGCGAAGAAUUUCAGUGGCUGCACUAAGCAGCACAUUUAUAGAAAAUUCUUCUCAUUUCAGUAACGACUUUUGCGAAGUCUCUACAGGUUGUCUCUAUUUUGUUACUUAUUGGAUCUGUUAGUUGCUUGUACUUGUUCACUGCUCUGUUGGUUUAAUUUAGAUAAUUAUAUUUCAG
Molecule: unclassified non-coding RNA, 1372 nt
Filed under: Hevea brasiliensis (rubber tree)
Lineage: Eukaryota; Viridiplantae; Streptophyta; Magnoliopsida; Malpighiales; Euphorbiaceae
Source: RNAcentral